GCUCCCGUAGCUCAGCUGGAUAGAGCACCAGUUUCCUAAACUGGGGGUCAGCAGUUCGAACCUGCUCGGGGGCACCA
RNAcentral lists this transfer RNA (77 nucleotides) under Deltaproteobacteria bacterium. RNAcentral describes it as "tRNA-Arg". It matches the Rfam family "tRNA". Rfam says of the family: Transfer RNA (tRNA) molecules are approximately 80 nucleotides in length. Their secondary structure includes four short double-helical elements and three loops (D, anti-codon, and T loops). Lineage: Bacteria; Pseudomonadati; Myxococcota; Myxococcia. The record is from RNAcentral.